AUAAGUCAGAGCGUUCGAUGAGUAAAUGCAGUGUGCAGAGAGGUGUACAUCGCGCGUCUGACAUCAAAGAAAGAAGAAACCCAUACAGGUUUGGAGCAACAUAAGGGCAUGUGAACUAACACUUCAGGAUUAUUGGAAGUCAUUUUUACUGGGUCACGUAUCACUCUGCAAUCUCUACAUUUGAACUAAAGCACUUUCUGCAUCUGUAUCUCUUUCAUGCGGUUUUGAAAUCCAUUUGACUGGAGCAGAGCGAGAACGAUUGAAGAUUAGAGGCAUUAUUCAUAAUUCCUGGUUUUUGUUUCAGGCGCAAGGCUUUUUGACGGGGUAUGCCAUUGUGAGAUGAACACGAAGGGCUGCUACAUUUACCCCGUCUGACGACUUGAGACUGACUGCACUGACGGCCUGAAUCUCCUCUGGGUACAGAGAGUUUUUAGUGAGGGCAGUGAAAGGUCCUGUGCCAUUUCCAGUGGAUUUCUUUCUCCCUUCGUACAAAAGGGCAGGUGGUGUAGCCAGCAGUCUGGUGCUUUAACCUGACCUGACCCAGAACCAGAACCAGGUGCUGAGCUGUGAUUAUGAGUCUCAGAAGACCAUACAGCCUGCAGCCUUCCCAGAGGCCUCCAUAUGGACACCAACUGCAAUCUGUGAUGAACAGCACAAAUGAUUCUCAUCCACAUAAAUAUGGACAUACUGUACCAUGGCCAUACCAAAUGUAGUGAAUGCAGUGUAGGUUACGAUGAUUGAUUGAUUUGUCUUAUUUCAGUUGUUUUUUUUAAAUUGCUUACUGUUCAAAAGGCUAUUGAACUUUCUUCAUGUGACUUCAUGUGAAUUU
This is a long non-coding RNA of Megalobrama amblycephala (Wuchang bream), 829 nucleotides long. RefSeq lists it as uncharacterized. NCBI's taxonomy places the organism in Eukaryota, Metazoa, Chordata, Actinopteri, Cypriniformes, Xenocyprididae. The transcript is spliced from 6 exons. The record is from RefSeq and is a predicted model, not a curated record.